This 468-nucleotide ribosomal RNA is filed under the name uncultured bacterium. Its description in RNAcentral is "partial 16S ribosomal RNA". It matches the Rfam family "Bacterial small subunit ribosomal RNA", at positions 28 to 507 of the family's 1533-position model. The record is from RNAcentral.
GACGAACGCUGGCGGCGUGCUUAACACAUGCAAGUCGAACGGACAGGCGCUGCUUUUGUGGGUUUCUCGAGUGCCGAACGCGUGAGUAUCACGUGUGUAAACUGUCCUUGUCUUUCGGAUAACUUCAGGGAACUGGGGCGAAUACCGGAUAUGAGCUCCUGCUGCGUGGGGGGCAUUGGAAAGAUUCGGCGGUUGGGGAUGGACUCGCGGCUUCUGCGCUUCUUGGUGUGGUAGUGGCUUACCAAGGCUUUGACGGGUAGCCUGCCUGAGAGGGUGACCGGCCACAUUGGGACUGAGAUACGGCCCAGACUCCUACGGGAGGCAGCAGUGGGGAAUAUUGCACAAUGGGCGGAAGCCUGAGGCAGCAACGCCGCGUGCGGGAUAACGGCCUUCGGGGUGUAAACCGCUUUCUCCUGUGACGAAGCGUGAGUGACGGUAAUGAGUAAAGAAGCACCGGCUAACUACGUG